AGCGUCAGUUCGUUUGCGAAGUGUGUGAUAAGCGAAUUCAGACGUCAAAAGUCAAAACGAAACGGAAAAGCGUCAACGAACCGAUGUGCGAAAGGCUACAAUGAAAUUAAUUAUAUUUUGUGACUCGUCAUUUUACAGUUCCACCGACUCAAGUCCUCACUUGGCAAUCUAAUUCACCAGCACACUAGUUAUAUUUUAGUAGUUAAAACUGCAAGUAUUUUAUACAACUUGGAUGACGACUGAACGACCGUGGCGAUAAACUUUGCGAAAUGCGGGAAAGCUAUGAAGUUAUAAAAGGGAGACGGUAAACCAAACUGACAUUGCUGACAAGCAAUUGUAAACAUUACAGGCUCACCGACAAGUGAGAAAUAUGAUCGCGCAGGGACAUUGACUGGCGUCAUAUCCUUAAAGCAAACAAAGCUACAGAAAGCAACACAAGAUUUCUGCUUGGAGCUAAUGCCAAACACAUAUUUACGGUAGAGAACGAGAAAUCGCUUUCGAAGCGCUCAAAAUAUUUUUUUUUUUUGUUUUGGCGGACUAAGAGUGCGAAGUCUAUUAAGUCGUAGUUGAAGGAUUCCAGUGCUUUAUAUUAGAAAUGUAUAAAAAAGCACCCAUUACUAUAAAAUUGAUACCUGAAAUUUGAAGCAACAGUUGCCACUUAAUGUAUUUGGCUACUAAUUACAUUGAUAAUAGUUAAGAAUAAUUAAAAGUUAUGAAUAAUUCGCAAAAAAUUGUUUAAUCAUUUUAGCUCAAAAGAAUUGUAGGCUAGGCUGCACAUUUUUCUAGGUUAUUGAAUUUCUUUCACAAGUUUGUAACAAUCAGAAUUUCUCCAUUUUCACCACAAUAUUGCGAAUGGCAUAGCUUUGUCUUUAGUGGAAAUUGUUAAGCACGGAAUCUUUGAUAUCAAACAAUAAAACAUAUUAUAAGUAAA
Molecule: long non-coding RNA, 931 nt
Organism: Bactrocera latifrons
Lineage: Eukaryota; Metazoa; Arthropoda; Insecta; Diptera; Tephritidae
Exons: 2
Source: RefSeq, a predicted model, not a curated record